GACAGAGGGGGCAAGCGUUGUCCGGAAUUAUUGGGCGUAAAGAGCGCGUAGGUGGUAUGUCAAGUCAUUUGUGAAAACUUUAGGCUUAACUUAAAGAUUGCAAGUGAUACUGAUAUACUUGAGCACAGCAGAGGAAAGUGGAAUUCCUGGUGUAGCGGUGAAAUGCGCAGAUAUCAGGAAGAACACCAGUGGCGAAGGCGGCUUUCCGGGCUGUUGCUGACACUGAGGCGCGAAAGCUAGGGGAGCGAACAGG
Molecule: ribosomal RNA, 253 nt
Filed under: uncultured bacterium
Lineage: Bacteria
Description: partial 16S ribosomal RNA
Rfam family: Bacterial small subunit ribosomal RNA
Source: RNAcentral